This 427-nucleotide ribosomal RNA is filed under the name uncultured prokaryote. Its description in RNAcentral is "bacterial SSU rRNA". It matches the Rfam family "Bacterial small subunit ribosomal RNA", at positions 355 to 774 of the family's 1533-position model. The record is from RNAcentral.
CUAAGAAUAUUCCGCAAUGGACGGAAGUCUGACGGAGCGACGCCGCGUGGAUGAAGAAGGCCGAAAGGUUGUAAAGUUCUUUUGCUAGGGGAGAAUAAGUGAGGGAGGGAAUGCCCUCAUGAUGACAAGGACUAGCGAAUAAGCCCCGGCCAACUACGUGCCAGCAGCCGCGGUACAACGUAGGGGGCGAGCGUUGUUCGGAAUUACUGGGCGUAAAGGGCAUGUAGGCGGCUUGGUAAGCCUGGCGUGAAAGACUGCAGCUUAACUGUAGGGAUGCGUUGGGAACUGCUUAGCUUGAGUGACGGAGAGGGAGCUGGAAUUCCUGGUGUAGCGGUGAAAUCUGUAGAUAUCAGGAAGAACACCGAUGGCGAAGGCAAGCUUCUGGUCGAUAACUGACGCUGAGGUGCGAAAGUGUGGGGAUCAAACA